This 495-nucleotide ribosomal RNA is filed under the name uncultured bacterium. RNAcentral describes it as "partial 16S ribosomal RNA". It matches the Rfam family "Bacterial small subunit ribosomal RNA", at positions 28 to 507 of the family's 1533-position model. The record is from RNAcentral.
GACGAACGCUGGCGGCGUGCCUAAUACAUGCAAGUAGAACGCUGAAGGAGGAGCUUGCUUCUCUGGAUGAGUUGCGAACGGGUGAGUAACGCGUAGGUAACCUGCCUGGUAGCGGGGGAUAACUAUUGGAAACGAUAGCUAAUACCGCAUAAGAGUAGAUGUUGCAUGACAUUUGCUUAAAAGGUGCAAUUGCAUCACUACCAGAUGGACCUGCGUUGUAUUAGCUAGUUGGUGAGGUAACGGCUCACCAAGGCAACGAUACAUAGCCGACCUGAGAGGGUGAUCGGCCACACUGGGACUUAGACACGGCCCAGACUCCUACGGGAGGCAGCAGUAGGGAAUCUUCGGCAAUGGACGGAAGUCUGACCGAGCAACGCCGCGUGAGUGAAGAAGGUUUUCGGAUCGUAAAGCUCUGUUGUAAGAGAAGAACGAGUGUGAGAGUGGAAAGUUCACACUGUGACGGUAUCUUACCAGAAAGGGACGGCUAACUACGUG